GUGCUUACGCUUGAUAAAGUCAGAAGCCACCGUAUCCACAUCCUUAUCCAUGUCAUCUUUCUUGAUAACAUUGGCAUGGUUAUCCUGAAACUUUUGGUUGGCUUGGCGAGGUAUUGUUCCUGUUGCUGCUUCUUUCUUCAUCGCACUAGCAUCGUUGUCCUGAAAUUUGGCAUGGUUUUGGUGGGCUUGGAAAUAGAACAGACGAGUGUGAGACAUUGCUCUGUAGCUUCUUGCUUGAAGGUAUGAGGAAAUGAUGAAAGGGUAAGAAUUGUGUUGCAGCUCUGAUGUUUUCUUCUCCUCUUUUAUAGGCCAAUAAAGAUACUUAUCUGAACGGCAAGUGGGCAUCAUAUUCUCCACUUUUUACAAUUUUGGGUUUUGGACUAAUCUUUCGUGUUUUCUUUCUUGUCCGCUUUUUCAGUCAAAUUUGUAAGGCGUUGAGUGACUACGUCGUUAUCUUUUAAGUAAUUUGGCUAGCUAGGGUUCUAUCCUAACAUGGACAUAAGUUUCUCGAAAAGAACUGGAUGCCUUUCCUGUUGCUCAGUCAACUUUUCAAGAGCCUGAAUAAUAUCCUGCAACCACAAAGGGGCCUAACCGCUGCUUCCUGUUUAGUGAAGUGGAUUUUCUGCACAAUCAAAUGAAAAAGCAUGUGAAAGCUUCUGCCUGGUGGAGUGGUGGUGUUCUGCGGGUCAAGCCGGGCGCUUAUUUUUUGACGAAGUUCGGCACGAUAUAGAUUGGUACCAGAAAGCAAUCAUAUGUAGAUAUGCUCCUUGGAAGAUGCUUCAUUCAUCCUAUGGGCAGCAUUAUCUGCGGAACGUUUAUCACAUGGACAUCUUGAUACUUUUAUAUAUCGUUUAUACGACGGAAAACGUAGCAGCUUAGAUUCUAGAAAGCGUGAGUGCUUGGUUGUCAUAGUUGUAUGAUGCCUGGCUGAAUCGCCAAACUUCACACAUAUCUUGUGCUGGUGGUAUUAUCAUCUUACAGAAUUCCAGGGCUA
Molecule: non-coding RNA, 994 nt
Organism: Lolium perenne
Lineage: Eukaryota; Viridiplantae; Streptophyta; Magnoliopsida; Poales; Poaceae
Source: RefSeq, a predicted model, not a curated record